UACGUAGGGCGCAAGCGUUGUCCGGAAUUAUUGGGCGUAAAGAGCUCGUAGGCGGCCUGUCGCGUCUGCUGUGAAAUCCCGGGGCUUAACCCCGGGCGUGCAGUGGAUACGGGCUGGCUGGAGGCAGGCAGGGGAGAACGGAAUUCCCGGUGUAGCGGUGAAAUGCGCAGAUAUCAGGAGGAACACCGGUGGCGAAGGCGGUUCUCUGGGCAUUACCUGACGCUGAGGAGCGAAAGUGUGGGGAGCGAACAGG
This 253-nucleotide ribosomal RNA is filed under the name uncultured bacterium. Its description in RNAcentral is "partial 16S ribosomal RNA". It matches the Rfam family "Bacterial small subunit ribosomal RNA", at positions 524 to 776 of the family's 1533-position model. The record is from RNAcentral.